Molecule: ribosomal RNA, 253 nt
Filed under: uncultured bacterium
Lineage: Bacteria
Description: partial 16S ribosomal RNA
Rfam family: Bacterial small subunit ribosomal RNA
Source: RNAcentral
UACGGAGGGGGCUAGCGUUGUUCGGAAUUACUGGGCGUAAAGCGCGCGUAGGCGGACUUUUAAGUCGGGGGUGAAAUCCCGGGGCUCAACCCCGGAACUGCCUUCGAUACUGGGAGUCUGGAGUUCGAGAGAGGUGAGUGGAAUUCCGAGUGUAGAGGUGAAAUUCGUAGAUAUUCGGAAGAACACCAGUGGCGAAGGCGGCUCACUGGCCCGGUACUGACGCUGAGGUGCGAAAGCGUGGGGAGCAAACAGG